Molecule: transfer RNA, 72 nt
Filed under: Sus scrofa (pig)
Lineage: Eukaryota; Metazoa; Chordata; Mammalia; Artiodactyla; Suidae
Rfam family: tRNA
About the family: Transfer RNA (tRNA) molecules are approximately 80 nucleotides in length. Their secondary structure includes four short double-helical elements and three loops (D, anti-codon, and T loops).
Source: Rfam by way of RNAcentral
UCCUUGGUGGUCUGGUAGUUAGGACUCAGCGCUUUCACUGCUGUGGCCUGGGUUCAGUCCCUUGUCUGGGAA